RNAcentral lists this ribosomal RNA (252 nucleotides) under uncultured bacterium. RNAcentral's name for it is "partial 16S ribosomal RNA". It matches the Rfam family "Bacterial small subunit ribosomal RNA", at positions 524 to 776 of the family's 1533-position model. The record is from RNAcentral.
UACAGGGGGGCAAGCGUUGUUCGGAAUUACUGGGCGUAAAGGGCUCGUAGGUGGCCAACUAAGUCAGACGUGAAAUCCCUCAGCUUAACUGGGGAACUGCGUCUGAUACUGGAUGGCUUGAGUUUGGGAGAGGGAUGCGGAAUUCCAGGUGUAGCGGUGAAAUGCGUAGAUAUCUGGAGGAAUACCGGUGGCGAAGGCGGCAUCCUGGACCGACAUUGACGCUGAAAACCGAAAGCUAGGGGAGCAAACGGG